Molecule: ribosomal RNA, 439 nt
Filed under: uncultured bacterium
Lineage: Bacteria
Description: partial 16S ribosomal RNA
Rfam family: Bacterial small subunit ribosomal RNA
Source: RNAcentral
CCUACGGGAGGCAGCAGUGGGGGAUAUUGCACAAUGGGGGGAACCCUGAUGCAGCGACGCCGCGUGGGUGAAGAAGCGCCUCGGCGCGUAAAGCCCUGUCAGCAGGGAAGAAAAUGACGGUACCUGAAGAAGAAGCCCCGGCUAACUACGUGCCAGCAGCCGCGGUAAUACGUAGGGGGCAAGCGUUAUCCGGAUUUACUGGGUGUAAAGGGGGCGCAGACGGCGAUGCAAGCCAGGAGUGAAAGCCCGGGCCCAACCCCCGGGAUGGUCUUGGAACUGCGUGGCUGGAGUGCAGGAGGGGCAGGCGGAAUUCCUGGUGUAGCGGUGAAAUGCGUAGAUAUCAGGAGGAACACCGGUGGCGAAGGCGGCCUGCUGGACUGCAACUGACGUUGAGGCCCGAAAGCGUGGGGAGCAAACAGGAUUAGAUACCCCAGUAGUC